This 298-nucleotide long non-coding RNA is filed under the name Elaeis guineensis (African oil palm). RNAcentral's name for it is "long non-coding RNA (EGUI_LNC019073)". The record is from RNAcentral. Lineage: Eukaryota; Viridiplantae; Streptophyta; Magnoliopsida; Arecales; Arecaceae.
CCUCAGAGGUGUUAUCAUCAAGACCAAGGCUCAUUCAACUUAGUCUAAGAGAGGUCUUUGCCCCCUUUGGGUUGGCUUGUAAUUUUAUCUUUCAAAAGCAUUAUGAAACAAAAUGCUAGUUAAAUUUUUAUUAUAAAUUGAAAUGGUAUUUACAUCAUGGUUGGCUAUCAUCGAUAGUGCGAUGAUAGCGCCAUUGACUUCUCUUUAAAGCUAGGAAGGAAAAUGAUAACCCCAUAGACACCAUCCCCUUUCUCUUCUUAAUUUAGGCUCCUUUCCCUGGCACAGCCAAUUGGGGUGG